RNAcentral lists this ribosomal RNA (253 nucleotides) under uncultured bacterium. Its description in RNAcentral is "partial 16S ribosomal RNA". It matches the Rfam family "Bacterial small subunit ribosomal RNA", at positions 524 to 776 of the family's 1533-position model. The record is from RNAcentral.
UACGAAGGGGGCCAGCGUUGCUCGGAAUCACUGGGCGUAAAGCGCACGUAGGCGGAUUGCUAAGUCAGGGGUGAAAUCCUGGAGCUCAACUCCAGAACUGCCUUUGAUACUGGCGAUCUCGAGUCCGGGAGAGGUGAGUGGAACUGCGAGUGUAGAGGUGAAAUUCGUAGAUAUUCGCAAGAACACCAGUGGCGAAGGCGGCUCACUGGCCCGGUACUGACGCUGAGGUGCGAAAGCGUGGGGAGCAAACAGG